GCUACGGGAGGCAGCAGUGAGGAAUAUUGGUCAAUGGACGAGAGUCUGAACCAGCCAAGUAGCGUGAAGGAUGACUGCCCUAUGGGUUGUAAACUUCUUUUAUAAAGGAAUAAAACGAGGCACGUGUGCCUUUUUGCAUGUACUUUAUGAAUAAGGAUCGGCUAACGACGUGCCAGCAGCCGAGGUAAUACGGAGGAUCCGAGCGUUAUCCGGAUUUAUUGGGUUUAAAGGGAGCGUAGAUUGGUUGUUAAGUCAGUUGUGAAAGUUUGCGGCUCAACCGUAAAAUUGCAAUUGAUACUGGCAGUCUUGAGUACAGUUGAGGUAGGCGGAAUUCGUGGUGUAGCGGUGAAAUGCUUAGAUAUCACGAAGAACCCCGAUUGCGAAGGCAGCUUACUAAACUGUGACUGACAUUGAUGCUCGAAAGUGUGGGUAUCAAACAGGAUUAGAUACCCUUGUAGUC
RNAcentral lists this ribosomal RNA (460 nucleotides) under uncultured bacterium. RNAcentral's name for it is "partial 16S ribosomal RNA". It matches the Rfam family "Bacterial small subunit ribosomal RNA", at positions 338 to 795 of the family's 1533-position model. The record is from RNAcentral.